This 241-nucleotide ribosomal RNA is filed under the name uncultured bacterium. RNAcentral describes it as "partial 16S ribosomal RNA". It matches the Rfam family "Bacterial small subunit ribosomal RNA", at positions 100 to 334 of the family's 1533-position model. The record is from RNAcentral.
UGGGCGGGACGGGUGAGUAACGCGUGGGUAACCUCGCCUCAUACAGGGGGAUAACAGGUGGAAACGGCUGCUAAUACCGCAUAAGCGCACAGUACCGCAUGGUACGGUGUGAAAAACUCCGGUGGUAUGAGAUGGACCCGCGUCUGAUUAGGUAGUUGGUGGGGUAACGGCCUACCAAGCCGACGAUCAGUAGCCGACCUGAGAGGGUGACCGGCCACAUUGGGACUGAGACACGGCCCAA